Betta splendens (Siamese fighting fish) is the source of this 1949-nucleotide long non-coding RNA. RefSeq lists it as uncharacterized. The transcript is spliced from 2 exons. NCBI's taxonomy places the organism in Eukaryota, Metazoa, Chordata, Actinopteri, Anabantiformes, Osphronemidae. The record is from RefSeq and is a predicted model, not a curated record.
AGUAUUUUUGGACCUGGAUGACAGACCUUCUUUUUAGAAGGAAUUGGUUUAGUACAGGGGUGGGCAUACCUGGUCUUUAAGGGUCGGUGUCCCUGCUGGUUUUCCAACUUUCCCUGCUGAUCACCUUCAUCAGGUGUGUCAUUUAGCUUUUUCAACUCCUGAUUGACUGAAAACACCUGAUCGAGGUAAUCAGCGGUACCUGGGGCAGGGAGAGUUGGCAAACUAGCAAGACAGCGGCCCUUGAGAACCAGGUUUGCCCACCCCUGGUUUAGCACCUGAACCUAAUCGUAGCUCUCAGGUGUAGAACAGUGGAAACGGCAGCAGAACCUGAAACAAUGGGGACAUUAAACUUCACUAAACUGAAUCAGAAGGACGCCACAAUCACUGACUGGUCUGGAGACAUACAGUGCAUCUGGAAAGUAUGCAUAAUGUCUCACUUUUUCUACAUUUUUCUUUGUUACAGCCUUAUUCCAAAAUGGAUUAAAUUAAUUUAUUUCCUCAAAAUUCUUCACACAAUACACCGUAAUGACAAUGAGAGAAAAGAUUUUUUCAAAUUGUUGCAAAUUUAUUAAAGGUCCAUCCAUAUGCAAAAUUCACUUUUUGGACAUUCUGGUACGUUUAUUUGACUCCCUGGGUCACGUUAAGACACUCCUGGUUUGUUAGAAGUACGUCCCCUAUUUAUUUCACAUUUUUGAGAGUUUAUCCUGUCCGGUUCAAGAACCAUGGUUUCAAAUUUGGCGGACUAUGUACGUCUGCAUUCACUUGACCACUCACAGAACCAGCUUCAGCCCCGCCCAGACAAACCUGGACCCCUAAAUGUACCUGCAACAUUACAUUUCAGUCACUCACUGCGCAGUCUACCACAUUGCGUUUUAGUCACUCCCUGUACGCUCCAGCAUAGUAGGUGGCAGUGAUGCACCUUUCAGUUGGUUGCCACCCGCCAUUUAAAAGACAAAAGAAGAAGUCACUCAGGUUGAAGAAGCGCUCCGUUCCUACAAGACGUGAUCCACUUGCUGCUUCCCCAAACGCUGAUGCAUGCCAGCUGCCGAAACGUGAGGAGGUUGCUUCUCAAACUGACUCCACUACAGGCUGUGGACACACAGCUACCUUGUAGAAGAGUUGUCGCUCACCUCAGGAGCAAAGUUAUGUACAUUUAACAGCAGUAUAAUCAUUUGUUGGCCAAUAUGCAGUUUUAUUUGACUGAGAUUGAGAUUUUGCAUUUCACAUUCCAGUAGUUGUGGUAUUCAUAAUCUGAUCUAUAUUAUUGUCUAUAUAUAUACUCUAUAUUCAGUUGGUCAACUUAUUCUUAUAUUUUAGUCCGUUGACGGGUAAAUUGUAAUUCUGGUGUUAUGGUGCAGAUUGUGUGGAAAAUGUGAUGGAGACCAUCUUUAUUAAAGUCCUGCUGGACCCAGGUCGUUAUAUGGAGGACCUUGUGAACAUCCCUGUCCCACCGGCCCUCUUAGCAGAAUUUGAGCAACCUGACAGAAAGGAGGUCAUUAAUGUCAUGCCAAGAUUUAACAAACCAGCAUUUUAAAAGCUAAGUUGAAUGUUUGCUCCAAACACCAUUAAAACUGAUCUAAAUACCUCUAUUUAUUGUUUAGAUCUGUAAAGGUUGUGAGAUACAUAGGAAAUACUGGUCAUUUCAUUAAUCUGCUAUUCUAUUCUUUAUACCUUCUAGAGUGUUGUCUAGGAAAACCGCUGCAUCCUCCAUCUGAACAGCAGCUGCACUGCUUUCAAUGUCUUCCAAAACGUGAUGAAGACAAAAAAGAUCCCCACAUCUCCCCAGCCAACUGCCCAUGACUGUAGCUGUUCCACUACAAAAACUAUGCUUUCAACAUAACCAUGAAUCCUACCCAUUCAUUUUGUGGUCUGCAAAUUGAACUGUGACGGUAACUUAUCCAGCAUUAUAGUGCUGGUGCAUUGGUUGACAAUAAAGUUGGCUUUGACUA